Molecule: ribosomal RNA, 429 nt
Filed under: Chloroflexota bacterium
Lineage: Bacteria; Bacillati; Chloroflexota
Description: Chloroflexi bacterium partial 16S ribosomal RNA
Rfam family: Bacterial small subunit ribosomal RNA
Source: RNAcentral
UGGGGAAUAUUGCACAAUGGGCGCAAGCCUGAUGCAGCCAUGCCGCGUGUAUGAAGAAGGCCUUCGGGUUGUAAAGCACUUUCAGCGGGGAGGAAGGCGUUAAGGUUAAUAACCUUGGCGAUUGACGUUACCCGCAGAAGAAGCACCGGCUAACUCCGUGCCAGCAGCCGCGGUAAUACGGAGGGUGCAAGCGUUAAUCGGAAUUACUGGGCGUAAAGCGCACGCAGGCGGUCUGUCAAGUCGGAUGUGAAAUCCCCGGGCUCAACCUGGGAACUGCAUUCGAAACUGGCAGGCUAGAGUCUUGUAGAGGGGGGUAGAAUUCCAUGUGUAGCGGUGAAAUGCGUAGAGAUGUGGAGGAAUACCGGUGGCGAAGGCGGCCCCCUGGACAAAGACUGACGCUCAGGUGCGAAAGCGUGGGGAGCAAACAGG